AUUGAACGCUGGCGGCAGGCCUAACACAUGCAAGUCGAGCGGAUGAAGAGAGCUUGCUCUUUGAUUCAGCGGCGGACGGGUGAGUAAUGCCUAGGAAUCUGCCUGAUAGUGGGGGACAACGUUUCGAAAGGAACGCUAAUACCGCAUACGUCCUACGGGAGAAAGCAGGGGACCUUCGGGCCUUGCGCUAUCAGAUGAGCCUAGGUCGGAUUAGCUAGUUGGUGAGGUAAUGGCUCACCAAGGCGACGAUCCGUAACUGGUCUGAGAGGAUGAUCAGUCACACUGGAACUGAGACACGGUCCAGACUCCUACGGGAGGCAGCAGUGGGGAAUAUUGGACAAUGGGCGAAAGCCUGAUCCAGCCAUGCCGCGUGUGUGAAGAAGGUCUUCGGAUUGUAAAGCACUUUAAGUUGGGAGGAAGGGCAUUAACCUAAUACGUUAGUGUUUUGACGUUACCGACAGAAUAAGCACCGGCUAACUUCGUGCCAGCAGCCGCGGUAAUACGAAGGGUGCAAGCGUUAAUCGGAAUUACUGGGCGUAAAGCGCGCGUAGGUGGUUUGUUAAGUUGAAUGUGAAAGCCCCGGGCUCAACCUGGGAACUGCAUCCAAAACUGGCAAGCUAGAGUAUGGCAGAGGGUGGUGGAAUUUCCUGUGUAGCGGUGAAAUGCGUAGAUAUAGGAAGGAACACCAGUGGCGAAGGCGACCACCUGGGCUAAUACUGACACUGAUGUGCGAAAGCGUGGGGAGCAAACA
This 751-nucleotide ribosomal RNA is filed under the name uncultured Pseudomonas sp. Its description in RNAcentral is "bacterial SSU rRNA". It matches the Rfam family "Bacterial small subunit ribosomal RNA", at positions 28 to 774 of the family's 1533-position model. The record is from RNAcentral. Lineage: Bacteria; Pseudomonadati; Pseudomonadota; Gammaproteobacteria; Pseudomonadales; Pseudomonadaceae.